GUCACACCCUGUUGGCUCUGUAACGCAGAGAGUUAACUUCUGACGCAAGCCCGAUGAUUACUUUGACCAGACCAGGGGGAUCCCACAGGGAUGUGACUGAAAUUAUUAUGGUGUGACCAGCUGCUUUCUGUACACCUGGACACAUGUUACAGAUGAUCAACCAAGUGCACUACAGUUAACGGCUGCCAGAUGGCCUAAGCGAGAGCACAAUAUGGACAGUAAUAAUACCAACAUGAAGGAAGAAACACUCUGUUUACCAGAGAAACCAGAUGCCCUACAGUGACUAUCAUCAGACUGGUUGAAUCCACACAGCGGACAGAUGGACAAUAAAAAUCUUUGCUUUUCCAAUGUAUAAAUUGUAACUCUGUUUGUCUAUUCUAUAUGUAUUACUGUGUUAGAACAACUCUGCAAUGUUCCUAAAUUACCUGUUCAAUUAUAGCCUAAAAACAGAAACAAAGAAAGCCAGAUGCUCUACCAUUGUUAUCAUCAGACUGAUUGAAUUCCCACAGCUGACAGAUGGACAAUAAAAAUCUUUGCUUUUCCCAUGUAUAAAUUGUAACUAUGUCUAUUUUACAUCUAUUAAUGUGCCAGAACAACUCUAUUUCUGCUUUUUGGCCACACUUGAACAGACAAUUUAGGACACUAUAGAGAACAAGAACAAGAAACAAGAAAGCCAGAUGCCCUACCGUGGUUAUCAUCAGACUGGUUGAAUCCACACAGCUGACAGAUGGAGCGGACCCACUUGUUCAUCUCCUCCUCGGUCUCGGCCACCAGGUAGAAGGUGCGGUCUGAGGUUUUGAUGUCAAACACAAAACUGUCCUGAAAUUCUUUCCUUUUAAAAGUGAGUCCAGCGUCCACCUGUUCACAGCAGUGCAGGUCAAUCACCCGGAUAGGCUUCUUGGAGUGGUCAUUCUUAUAAUACUCCAAUACAUCAGGAUCGCCACUCAUUCGACCGCUGCGAAGGAUGAACCAGCGCUUCUUCCAGGCCUAGGAAAGGAAAUGAAUGGAGAUGCAAGAAAAUCUUAAGGGAGGAUUCACAUUCAUCCCACACAAACUAUGAGCAACUUGUUUCUCUGGAGUAGAGCAGUGAGCUAGCGCAUGUCCGAGAGGGGUCUGUCUGAGCCCAUCCAUCAGUGUCUACAGUGGGACAGUGUUCCCAGCUCUACAGCACUGCUCCACCCGCCUCUUCUGCUCCACCACCGAGCCACUGGGACAAGAGAAAACGCAUCGGCCUCAUUACUAAAUGGACUGUGUAGAAGACCAAUGGGCCAGGCCAAAUCACAAUUUUUACAGUAGAGUAAGAAAUCAACUGGAAGAAUUGGUUCUCUAUGUAUUCAGACUUUCUCCCACCAUUCACAGUCAAGGGUAUAUGGGUGUAUAUGGGUGAUUCAAAAAUCAUAGUGAAUGAAAGUGAGAAAGAAUGGCUAUGUUAAAAUGUUGGAAGCCCUAAAAGAAAUUACAACUUGAGUACACAUUUUCUAAGGCCCUACUUACAGACAUAAUCUGCAAAUUAGCAUGAACAUAAGGGUUGCUAUUAUCUCGUUUGUACUAAAUGCAAAAGUGACUUGUGACUCCUGUGGUUAUAACCUUUCGAUACCUGCCAAGUAUGGAUUUAUUUUUAACACGGUUAUAUAUAACAGUAAAUAUCUUAAUUUCUGUUAGAUAGCUUAAUGUGGCUUAAUAGACUUUAAGGUUGGUAUUUGAUAGCUAUUCCAAAAAUAUCACAAAUAUGUUUACAUGUGACCUGAAAUGACAACAGUUAAUUUCAACAACAUAGGAAUAACGUCUACAAGUUACUAUAAUGUGUAUGUUUUGCCUUAUCAACAGCAGAUAUCAGCCUGUAGCCAUCCAAUACCUCUUUUCCCUAAGGCCAUAAGACUCCCCAUCUGUCUAUGCUGGACGAACUAUAUUUCAGGAUCAAUUUUUGGAAACAAAACAAUUGAUUUCUUCCUGAGAGAUAAAUAAGGUUAAACUGAAAAUAAAUCUAAAAUUGUUGCAAGUCCAACAAUAAUAUUUGUGUGUUCAGACGCAGACAUGCAUCUCCAUUUGUUUUAGAUCAAUAGGAAGCCAAACAAUUGUCUCCGUCUGUUUGCUUCUACAAAUACAACCUGUACUAGUUUCUUGUGUCGGAUCUUUUUGUUUCCUUGUGAAUGUGAAAAAUGUUUGGCACUAUUUUUGGCAAUACACAAAACAAUGAUACUGUGGCAAAACAAAUCCUACAAAAACCUUUUCUUUACUCAAAUGGAACAACUGUCGUUGGACGGGAUGCUCUGAAAUAGCCAGUGUUUUUUUUUUUUUUUGAGGUAAAAGGAGAGAGACGAAAUCAUUAACAUUAAGGUGUGCCUGAGGUCCUCACUGUGUGCUUAGUAGUAGACUGUGUCAACACCAUGCUAUCAGUCAACAUGUUUUUAAAAGAGUCCUGUGCGUAUGUUAUUGGAAUUGAAAUAGAACAGUUGUGUUUACAUGCACUCCCAUUUAAGUCAUAGAGAAGGAGGCAGGAGUGUAUAUGAGCAACAACGGCAGACAGCUGAACAAACAAUGCCAGUAUUGGGCCACUGUAUGACAUGUAAGCAGCUUUCCUGAGCACGUUUUCUCAUCUUUUAGCAGCUUUUGUAAAGGUCGCAUUUGGUGGCAGAAGCUGAACAGUCAGAGACUAAAGCCUGAGGCGCUCAGGGUCCUGUUUGAUCUGAGUGACAGCAACACAAUAGAGUUAUAGGCCUCUCUAAAGUCAACCACUUCAUUUCUAGGUCAAAAGAGUCACAGCACUGCUAUAAAAUUUAUAAAAAUAUGAAAAAAAAACAUUCCACAGUGAGGCUUUUCAAAGUACUCCAUCUGUUUGGGUAAGUUUACUGCAAGUAGUUUCCCCUCUUCAGUCUUAAAGGUGCACUGUGUAACAUUUCACAUGAGGGGUCAACUAAGUGCUUGUCUCAUAAUUCUCUCAUAAUGCCAUACAGGGAAAAUUUUCAGGCAGAGGAACAUCUCCAUGGAGACAGGCAGGUGUCAGAUCCUCCACAGGCUAUCAUGUUUGCAAUUUAACAGUCAUUGUAGUCACAUUUAUUUUCAGUGCACAAAAUAUAUUGAGACUAUAUGAGACUGUAUUCCCAGUGAAUACAAUGAGACCACCAGAAGUUUACAUAAUAAGUGUGGAUUGUUCCCCUGCUGGCUGGUGGCAAAUAAUAGCUAACAUUAUUGUCAUUUAAAUUAAUUUGGUAACACUUUCAGCCCACAUCCUAUUUACAGAAAACAUCUAACUCUCUCUGAAGUUGUUGAGGAGUAGAAGAAAGAAUAUUUUGCACAUUUACACCAUUAAGGGUCGCUUUGCAAUGAAUAAAUUACAACAAAGACCAGCUGGGGCGAUGUGAAAAAGCUUGUAAUAUAUGCAAAUGCAAUAUUUUGUGAAAGGCCAAAACUUCUAACAGCUAAUUUGUGCUUUUUCAACCAAACCCACAAGAUUUGGUAUGGCCCCUCUGCUAAAAUAGUUAAUAUUUUAUCUAUCUCUGUACAUGCUGAGGAAAUGGGUGGAAGGACCUGUUUUAAUCAUUCAAAAAAUAGCUAAAAAUAUUCUAUAAAAUGUGCCGGACUUUGAAGAAACAAGUGAGCAUUCCUGUCACAAUAAAAUGUUAUUAUUUAUUCCUUCUUGUCUUUUUCACAACUUGAACAAAGUGUGUUUAUAGUAGGGUAGACUUAAAACAAUACUAGACCUUGACACUGCACAGGGCUCUCCUUUGUAACAUAGACCAAUACCAAAACUUAGCUCAGUGCAUUCUCACAAUUUACAGUUUACUGUCCAGAUUAUUUAUAGCAAAUUCAUAAAGAUAUUCAAUAAUUUUAGGCUAAUAUUAAGUAAAUGUUGUUAGUAUGACCCACCACAUAACAAAGAUAGAUUAAAAUAAAAUCAUGUUUGUUUCAUUUGGUUCUCCCUGGAGCCAUUCCCAGAGGUUAUGCAGUGUUGCUCUAAAAUGAAAUGAAACAUGUGACUAUAGACCCUUGACACACCCAUAUCUCUAC
This is a long non-coding RNA of Boleophthalmus pectinirostris (great blue-spotted mudskipper), 4008 nucleotides long. RefSeq lists it as uncharacterized. NCBI's taxonomy places the organism in Eukaryota, Metazoa, Chordata, Actinopteri, Gobiiformes, Gobiidae. The record is from RefSeq and is a predicted model, not a curated record. The transcript is spliced from 3 exons.